RNAcentral lists this ribosomal RNA (460 nucleotides) under uncultured bacterium. RNAcentral's name for it is "partial 16S ribosomal RNA". It matches the Rfam family "Bacterial small subunit ribosomal RNA", at positions 338 to 795 of the family's 1533-position model. The record is from RNAcentral.
CCUACGGGAGGCAGCAGUGAGGAAUAUUGGUCAAUGGACGAGAGUCUGAACCAGUCAAGUAGCGUGAAGGAUGACUGCCCUAUGGGUUGUAAACUUCUUUUAUAUGGGAAUAAAACGUUCCACGUGUGGGAUUUUGUAUGUACCAUAUGAAUAAGGAUCGGCUAACUCCGUGCCAGCAGCCGCGGUAAUACGGAGGAUCCGAGCGUUAUCCGGAUUUAUUGGGUUUAAAGGGAGCGUAGGUGGAUUGUUAAGUCAGUUGUGAAAGUUUGCGGCUCAACCGUAAAAUUGCAGUUGAAACUGGCAGUCUUGAGUACAGUAGAGGUGGGCGGAAUUCGUGGUGUAGCGGUGAAAUGCUUAGAUAUCACGAAGAACUCCGAUUGCGAAGGCAGUUCACUGGACUGCAACUGACACUGAGGCUCGAAAGUGUGGGUAUCAAACAGGAUUAGAUACCCUUGUAGUC